Molecule: non-coding RNA, 24 nt
Filed under: Arabidopsis thaliana (thale cress)
Lineage: Eukaryota; Viridiplantae; Streptophyta; Magnoliopsida; Brassicales; Brassicaceae
Source: RNAcentral
UAAUGUAGCUGACUAGGAUGCCAC